UUUAACUGAAGAGUUUGAUCAUGGCUCAGAUUGAACGCUGGCGGCAGGCUUAACACAUGCAAGUCGAGCGGGGGAAGGUAGCUUGCUACUGGACCUAGCGGCGGACGGGUGAGUAAUGCUUAGGAAUCUGCCUAUUAGUGGGGGACAACAUCUCGAAAGGGAUGCUAAUACCGCAUACGUCCUACGGGAGAAAGCAGGGGAUCUUCGGACCUUGCGCUAAUAGAUGAGCCUAAGUCGGAUUAGCUAGUUGGUGGGGUAAAGGCCUACCAAGGCGACGAUCUGUAGCGGGUCUGAGAGGAUGAUCCGCCACACUGGGACUGAGACACGGCCCAGACUCCUACGGGAGGCAGCAGUGGGGAAUAUUGGACAAUGGGGGGAACCCUGAUCCAGCCAUGCCGCGUGUGUGAAGAAGGCCUUAUGGUUGUAAAGCACUUUAAGCGAGGAGGAGGCUACUUUAGUUAAUA
RNAcentral lists this ribosomal RNA (464 nucleotides) under Acinetobacter baumannii. RNAcentral describes it as "bacterial SSU rRNA". It matches the Rfam family "Bacterial small subunit ribosomal RNA", at positions 1 to 465 of the family's 1533-position model. Lineage: Bacteria; Pseudomonadati; Pseudomonadota; Gammaproteobacteria; Moraxellales; Moraxellaceae. The record is from RNAcentral.